RNAcentral lists this ribosomal RNA (246 nucleotides) under uncultured bacterium. RNAcentral's name for it is "partial 16S ribosomal RNA". It matches the Rfam family "Bacterial small subunit ribosomal RNA", at positions 118 to 358 of the family's 1533-position model. The record is from RNAcentral.
UGAGCAAUCUGCCCUUCUCAUCGGAAUGAGCGUUGGAAACGACGUCUAAUGCCGAAUACGACCUCCUUUCGCACGAUCGGAGGUGGAAAGCUCCGGCGGAGAAGGAUGAGCUCGCGGCCUAUCAGCUAGUUGGUGUUGGUAACGGCCCACCAAGGCGACGACGGGUAGCCGGCCUGAGAGGGUGACCGGCCACACUGGGACUGAGACACGCCACGACGUACCUACCGGGUAACGGGGAGACGACGG